AGUUUGCGUGAAAGGAGAGGUUAGCAUUCUCCUUGAUAAGAACGGAAGAGGUCCUAGUAAGCUUUAUGAUACAUAUACAGUUAAGGAAUUGCCACUUACUCUGUGAAAUCUAACCAUGUAAUGCU
Molecule: small nuclear RNA, 125 nt
Organism: Trichosurus vulpecula (common brushtail)
Lineage: Eukaryota; Metazoa; Chordata; Mammalia; Diprotodontia; Phalangeridae
Source: RefSeq, a predicted model, not a curated record